AGAGUUUGAUCCUGGCUCAGGAUGAACGCUGGCGGCGUGCUUAAUACAUGCAAGUCGAACGGAGAUAAUAGCAAUAUUAUCUUAGUGGCGAACGGGUGAGUAACGCGUUGGUGACCUGCCCCGAAGAGAGGGAUAGCAGUUCGAAAGGACUGAUAAUACCUCAUGUGGUUGAGGGUUUUAGAAUCCCUUAACUAAACGGAUUUAUUCGCUUCGGGAGGGGCCUGCGUCCCAUCAGCUAGUUGGUAGGGUAAUGGCCUACCAAGGCGAUGACGGGUAGGGGACCUGAGAGGGUGGCCCCCCACAAUGGAACUGAAACACGGUCCAUACACCUACGGGUGGCAGCAGUAGGGAAUAUUGGUAAUGUGCGAAAGCGCGAACCAGCAACGCCGCGUGAGCGAUGAAGGCCUUCGGGUUGUAAAGCUCUUUUAGAGAGGAUGAGGAAGGACAGUACUUCUG
RNAcentral lists this ribosomal RNA (456 nucleotides) under uncultured bacterium. Its description in RNAcentral is "bacterial SSU rRNA". It matches the Rfam family "Bacterial small subunit ribosomal RNA", at positions 8 to 469 of the family's 1533-position model. The record is from RNAcentral.